UUAGUCUGGACUCCAGCUAAAUGAACUAGACAUUCUCCAGCUGUUUUUCCUCAUUCCAGUUUCUAGACUGAACUACAAGCUCCCCCUGCAGAAAAACACACAGGGAUUGCUCAUGCAGUGUUAUGGUCAGCUUAAAAAGAAAAAAAGAAGAAGAAAAAAAAAGUAGUUUGGAGGAAGCAAGGAAGCACAUAGAGUGGCUUCUACAGCUGUUGUACAAUAGUUUCACAUCCAGCACCAACUGCGGUCUCAGGCUUCUGCAGAUGAAGGUUUUGCUUCUUCCAAUGGGGGUGAAAAGGGAUUCAGCAGAAAGCCCGAGGGUAAGCACAGUCAGACCAGCAGCAGAAUUCACCCACGUGCCCUCAGCAUCCAGCUCAUCUCUCACCUCUCUCCUGUGCCUUUUGAAGUCAGUAUUGCAACACCCCCCGGACUCCUGCUGCAAUCUGUGGCAGGUUACCACUACUCGUGCUUAUCAUCUUUGUCACGAUGUUUCCAUCCCAGGCACUCUCAGAAAAACCUGCACAGUUGGAGCUCGGCUGGUUACCCUCGGGGCAGUGCAAAGGAGAAGAGGCUGCUGCUCCCUGCUCCACCUUCUGGCUCUGCAGGGCAGGCAGCAGGAGCAGACUGUUUGCACUAAAGCAAACCAAGCAGAAGGAGCUUGAUAAUAAAUGGGAGGCAGAUAUCUGGCACCAAGGUGCUAGUUUUAUGGUUGGUUUUCCAAGCGUUUCAAAAUGCACCGGGAAAUUGAUUUGUCAUCAGGACAAGAGCCUGUGCUCAUCAGGUCUGUCAGGUUCAGUUUUCAGCUGAGUUAUCUGAUUCACUAGUGCUCUUUUCCUACCGUUCUAUUUAAGACAAAUAAAGGCUUCAAAUCCAUGUUGUAAUUUUCCCAGGCUUUUAUUGAAAUGCACAGGAGAGGGGCUCUGAAGAGCUAUUUAUUCAUGCUUUCCCCAUUAGCUCGUACAUGCCUGUAAAAACAAAAGGACCAAAAAAACCCACUCUUGAUGCUUACACAAACCCAAACAAUUUACAGUCUUGUAACACCCUUACUCUUCUGGAAAUUUUUGGACAGUGUCAGUUCACACCAUCUGUUUGAACUAACGGUCCCCAGAAUUCAGGUAGUAGAGUACUUUCACACUUGCAUAGAGCUUUGUUGCCACAUAUAAAAUCUUUUGCACCUGUGCUGCUUUAUUCCUAUAUGUGGAUAUGCAAAUAAAGUUUGAAAAUACA
Cygnus olor (mute swan) is the source of this 1224-nucleotide long non-coding RNA. RefSeq lists it as uncharacterized. The transcript has 3 exons. The record is from RefSeq and is a predicted model, not a curated record. NCBI's taxonomy places the organism in Eukaryota, Metazoa, Chordata, Aves, Anseriformes, Anatidae.